RNAcentral lists this ribosomal RNA (465 nucleotides) under uncultured bacterium. Its description in RNAcentral is "bacterial SSU rRNA". It matches the Rfam family "Bacterial small subunit ribosomal RNA", at positions 791 to 1249 of the family's 1533-position model. The record is from RNAcentral.
UAGUCCACGCCGUAAACGAUGAGAGCUAGCCGUCAGGAUGUAUACAUUUUGGUGGCGCAGCUAACGCAUUAAGCUCUCCGCCUGGGGAGUACGGUCGCAAGAUUAAAACUCAAAGGAAUUGACGGGGGGCCCGCACAAGCGGUGGAGCAUGUGGUUUAAUUCGAGGCAACGCGAAGAACCUUACCAGCUCUUGACAUUUGGAUCGCGAUUUCCGGAGACGGAUUUCUUCAGUUCGGCUGGAUCCAGGACAGGUGCUGCAUGGUUGUCGUCAGCUCGUGUCGUGAGAUGUUGGGUUAAGUCCCGCAACGAGCGCAACCCUCGCCUUUAGUUGCCAGCAUUCAGUUGGGCACUCUAGAGGGACUGCCGGUGAUAAGCCGGAGGAAGGUGGGGGAUGACGUCAAAUCAUCAUGGGCCCUUACGGGGCUGGGGCUACACACGUGCUACAAUGGCGGUGACAGUGGGGCA